AACAACUACAUCAUCUUAAAUUUAUUUAUUUAUACCUAUACAUUAUUUCUCAUGAAAUCUUGCCACGUGGCGGCCCCUCCUUUAUUCUUACCUUCUCCUCUCUUCUCUAUUCACAAUUGUUGCAACCGCACAAAACCUUUGAUCUUCCAAUCAAUGAAAUCUUAAACCCACACUCUUCAUCUCCCCACCAAGGAGUUAGUUCCAAUCAAUGAAAUCUUAAACUCACACUCUUCAUCUCCCCACCAAGGAGUUACUAAUGCAUUAUUAACUUUAAUAAUUAUGAUGAUCCACAUAAUUAGCACCACUAAAACCCCAUCAUCAUCAUCUCCUCAUUCUCCGAAACCAAAUACCACACUCCAACAUUUCUAUUAGAUAUUCUUAUGUUACAAACCAACUAUUCUUUCUAUUAUAUAUUCUUAUUAUUAUUCUCGAAGGCGAGUACGAAUCCGUCAACGCCAUUCGGGUCGAGCCAUGAUU
RNAcentral lists this long non-coding RNA (477 nucleotides) under Ananas comosus (pineapple). Its description in RNAcentral is "long non-coding RNA (ACOM_LNC023794)". Lineage: Eukaryota; Viridiplantae; Streptophyta; Magnoliopsida; Poales; Bromeliaceae. The record is from RNAcentral.